CGAAGGGGGCUAGCGUUGCUCGGAAUCACUGGGCGUAAAGGGUGCGUAGGCGGGUCUUUAAGUCAGGGGUGAAAUCCUGGAGCUCAACUCCAGAACUGCCUUUGAUACUGAAGAUCUUGAGUUCGGGAGAGGUGAGUGGAACUGCGAGUGUAGAGGUGAAAUUCGUAGAUAUUCGCAAGAACACCAGUGGCGAAGGCGGCUCACUGGCCCUAUACUGACGCUGAGGCACGAAAGCGUGGGGAGCAAACAGG
RNAcentral lists this ribosomal RNA (251 nucleotides) under uncultured bacterium. Its description in RNAcentral is "partial 16S ribosomal RNA". It matches the Rfam family "Bacterial small subunit ribosomal RNA", at positions 526 to 776 of the family's 1533-position model. The record is from RNAcentral.